RNAcentral lists this transfer RNA (68 nucleotides) under bovine gut metagenome. It matches the Rfam family "tRNA". Rfam says of the family: Transfer RNA (tRNA) molecules are approximately 80 nucleotides in length. Their secondary structure includes four short double-helical elements and three loops (D, anti-codon, and T loops). Further hydrogen bonds mediate the characteristic L-shaped molecular structure. tRNAs have two regions of fundamental functional importance: the anti-codon, which is responsible for specific mRNA codon recognition, and the 3' end, to which the tRNAs corresponding amino acid is attached (by aminoacyl-tRNA synthetases). tRNAs cope with the degeneracy of the genetic code in two manners: having more than one tRNA (with a specific anti-codon) for a particular amino acid; and 'wobble' base-pairing, i.e. permitting non-standard base-pairing at the 3rd anti-codon position. The record is from RNAcentral.
GGUGUGGCUCAGUUUGGCUAGAGCGCUUGAUUUGGGAUCAAGAGGCCGCAAGUUCGAAUCUUGUCACC